GACGAACGCUGGCGGCGUGCUUAACACAUGCAAGUCGAACGGAAAGGCCCUGCUUUUGUGGGGUGCUCGAGUGGCGAACGGGUGAGUAACACGUGAGUAACCUGCCCUUGACUUUGGGAUAACUUCAGGAAACUGGGGCUAAUACCGGAUAGGAGCUCCUGCUGCAUGGUGGGGGUUGGAAAGUUUCGGCGGUUGGGGAUGGACUCGCGGCUUAUCAGCUUGUUGGUGGGGUAGUGGCUUACCAAGGCUUUGACGGGUAGCCGGCCUGAGAGGGUGACCGGCCACAUUGGGACUGAGAUGCGGCCCAGACUCCUACGGGAGGCAGCAGUGGGGAAUAUUGCACAAUGGGCGGAAGCCUGAUGCAGCAACGCCGCGUGCGGGACGACGGCCUUCGGGUUGUAAACCGCUUUCGCCUGUGACGAAGCGUGAGUGACGGUAAUGGGUAAAGAAGCACCGGCUAACUACGUG
RNAcentral lists this ribosomal RNA (468 nucleotides) under uncultured bacterium. RNAcentral's name for it is "partial 16S ribosomal RNA". It matches the Rfam family "Bacterial small subunit ribosomal RNA", at positions 28 to 507 of the family's 1533-position model. The record is from RNAcentral.